GGACAGGCCACAGCGAUAGCCCACUUCCUAUGCAGAGCCCAGCUGCACUGAGGCAGAGUUUUCUCCGCUGGUGGCACAAGUAGAGGUCAGAGAGACUCCAGGCUGAGAAGGAUUUGAGGCGCCAGGGCCGGCUUGAAGACAGCGGGAACAAUGUGCACGAUCGGAGAGGAAGCCCCGGGAGCUGACAGUGACUUUUGACACCACUAGCAAGGAUGGGGUUGACGAUUCCCACAGAUCUGAAUUCUGCUGCAAAUUGAAUGAGCUGGGGAGUGGGUUCCCUCCCAGAGCCUCUAAGAAGAGCCUGGUCGCUGACUCCUUAAUGCUAGGCCUGGAGACCCAGAGUGCAGACCCCAAUUGAGCCUGCCCUGAAUUUGAUCUACAAAAUUUCGAGCUCAUAAACCUGUUUCAAGCUGCAAAAUAUGUGGUGAUUUGUUACACGGCAAUAGAAAAACAGAUGCACGCCUCCCACAGCCUCCCACUGCCUACGUGAGACAGGGCUACAGGACACCAGUGGGCAGAACAGUCUCUGCCCUCAUUUUGCUGGUGGAUUAGAAGAUGAAAGUUAAUAAAAUCUGGUGGCGCAUUUUAUGACCUCCCUGCUUACUCCUUUGGAGACUCUCUUGCUUUGUGACCACUGGCUUGUCCACCUGGCCCAGCCCCUGCCUCCCCUUGGUGAGCUCCUGGGACCUCAGCCUGGGUGGGCGAGGUCCUCUUUGUACCAUUUGCUGCAGGCCCCCGUGCACCAUUAUCUCAGGUCUGUCUAUUAGCUUUUCGCAAACUGUUUCCUGAAGCCUGAGUGCGCUGCACGAUGUCAAAAUCUGGUCUUUGAGAAAGCACGGCUCCGUGGUUAAAUGGCUAGGGAAGUGCUUCUGUAAUUCAAGACUCAUCAGGGGCUUCACUGUGCAGAGCCGGAGGAUGCAGCGUCCACCAAGUUUACCUUCCAUGGAAGCAUAGCUCCCCAGGUGCCUGGCAGCCCUCUGAGAACAGACUGUGGGCACAGGCUGCGAGAUGCUGCUAAAACUUUGCCCAGGUUUCCUUUGCUUCUCCAGAUAGCUGCUUCUUCCGCAUUCCCGACUCAUGCUCAUUCUAAGUGGGUUAUCAACCUAUGGCUUUCACAGUGAAUGGGACCCGCAGGUGUCCUGGGACGUAUACACUGCAUUCUAAGUGUCUAUUUGCCCACAGAUCACCACUGUACGCUCUUUGGAAUAGUUUUUCUCUGUUACCAGAAUGUUAUACAUGUAGUAGAUGUCCACUAAAUAUUUCUGAGCAAAGAAGACUGUUACAUUUCACGAAUCCAUCCUGUUUUUCUGUUUCUCAGUUCAAAAUGUGCUGUGGUCACUGACAUGAACCAUCCAUUCACAUCUCCAUUAAAAGUCAGCCUUUGGCCGAUGAAGGCCAGUGCUCUCCGGUACCCAGACCAGAAGUGUAUGGUCCAUGCGGAGCUGUCUGUUCGCUGUCUUGACAGCAGUAAGGCAGCCCUGCAGAUGACGCUAAAGCAAUGCCGUGACGCCACACUCACACUGCAGGUGGAGAAGGACGACGACCGUGAGGCUGACUUACUUUCAUACAAAUUAAAUACACGGGACCUAAGUCUAUAAUAAUAGGUUUCCAAGAAAAAAUACUCUACAGAAAGCAAAUGGCCAUCAUAUUGAGGGAGAACCUUUCAGAAUAAGCACAUUGCCAUGAAAGACCCUCCUGCAAGCAUUACUGCUUAAGAAUUCUUUCAAACUUGAUGGACUUUAAAGAUUUUUGGGUAAGGAAACACCCCCUACAAUCAUUCUGCUGACUGAGAACUUGCUAGGCCAGCUCCUUUUUCUCAUACAGCAAAUACAGCUGGCAGUUCUUGGGUCAAAUUAGAGGAAGAGGGAAAGGAAGAGGAGAUGAGACUCACACCACUGGUCACAUUUUGGAGGACUGGGCCGAACAAGUGGCCAGAUUUGAUCCCCCAGUGAGAUCGGGAGUAUGGCCAGUUUUGGGGACAGACUGGCCAGAGCCACAGAGAGGUGACUGGAGGGGCUGUUUUUGGGCAUCCUCAGCAGGGCCAGCAGCUCUCCUCUUGAGCAUCACUGAACAGGAUCUGGGGGCUGAUUCUGGAGAGCUGUGCAGGGCAUGCGGGGGAAAUGAAUCAACAGUGGAGAGCUCCAGCUUCCAAGCAGAUCGAUUUUGUGACUGAGCAGGUAGUUAAAACCUCAGUAUUUUACUGGCCUUCUCCUUUUCUCUUCCGUUCUCUGGCUUGCAGAGUGGGAGGAGGAGGAAGCACACACAGUCUCUCCGAUGAAGCUGCUCUGAGCAGCCGAGGCGCCUGAGGCACGUCGCUGCUGGGUGACAGGACGGCACCAAAUGCUGGCGACAGAGACGUGGCCACACGCGGAAAGCAGGCGACAGGCCUCUCGAGGUCUGCGGUGUGUUCCCCAAUUACACAGAAAUACAUCGUUGUGAAAUAAAUAGCACCUCUGCCUCUGCAGGUUAUUUCCAUGCAAAUGCAGAGUCACAGUAGGGAAUAAGGGAAUCGAUAUUAAAAAUCCAACCGAGACAGUAAAUCAAAUCCUCGAAAGGGUUCUUGUAAAUAAUGGCUUCAGUCAGUUCCAGGGCCCAUGAUUUUAGCAGCCAGCAAUACUAAGUUAGAAGACUUCUCAAUAUAUCCACAAACGAUCAGUACAUUGAAAGACGAAUCACAUCCGUGUGUGAUCUAUAUAGACAUUAAGAGUUUGUGCCAGAAGUGUUAGAUUAAAGGGGUGAGGAACAACAGCUCAGUUUAAAAGAAAAGAAACAUGUGGGCAAAUAACAGGAGAUGGGGCAAGUUCUGCAAUAAUUCAGCCACAUGAGGAAGGCUGGCCACAGUGUGAACUGGCAGUCCUGGGUUUCAGGUUGCAAAGACAAUAAUUCAGCCACAUGAGGAAGGCUGGCCACAGUGUGAACUGGCAGUCCUGGGUUUCAGGUUGCAAAGACAAUAAUUCAGCCACAUGAGGAAGGCUGGCCACAGUGUGAACUGGCAGUCCUGGGUUUCAGGUUGCAAAGACAAUAAUUCAGCCACAUGAGGAAGGCUGGCCACAGUGUGAACUGGCAGUCCUGGGUUUCAGGUUGCAAAGACCUUUCUGCUGCACCUUGAUAUUUGGUCGUCUGAUACACAGAGAGCGCACGUUACUAACCAGAGUUUACACCUGAGGGACCCAGCAGUAGUGGCCCUUACUCAACAGCAUGCUGGGAGUAGAAAUGCACACUGUUCACUGACAUGGUAUUUGGUGUUUCUUUGCUCUCAUGCCACAACUGGCUCCUGGGAAUGACACGAGCCUAAGCCUGCAGACCUUUGACUGUGUCUGUUCCCCUCUCUCCUACAUUCCCAGCACCUAACCCCGGGUUUGGCAUCAAGUGCUUGCUAUAUAUGGGUGCAUACAUGCAUGUGUGUGUGUGUGGAUGUACGUUUAUGUACGUAUGGACAUGUGCAUACAGAGAUUUACACAUGUAUGCAUAUCACUUGCUUGAUGCAAGAAUGACUCAUCAAUUAAUUAAUACAAUGUGUGCUCUUAUUUGCUUUUUAUUUAUUUUUUUAUUGCAUUUUAGGUUUUGGGGUACAUGUGAAGAACAUGCAAGAUUGUUGCAUAGGUACACACAUGGCAGAGUGAUUUGCUGCCUUCCUCCC
Molecule: long non-coding RNA, 3640 nt
Organism: Cebus imitator (Panamanian white-faced capuchin)
Lineage: Eukaryota; Metazoa; Chordata; Mammalia; Primates; Cebidae
Exons: 3
Source: RefSeq, a predicted model, not a curated record